This 249-nucleotide ribosomal RNA is filed under the name uncultured organism. Its description in RNAcentral is "partial 16S ribosomal RNA". It matches the Rfam family "Bacterial small subunit ribosomal RNA", at positions 355 to 595 of the family's 1533-position model. The record is from RNAcentral.
UGGGGAAUAUUGGACAAUGGGCGAAAGCCUGAUCCAGCAAUGCCGCGUGGGUGAAGAAGGCCUUCGGGUUGUAAAGCCCUUUAGGCUGGGAAGAAGAAUAUGGGGUGAAUAUACCUGACUUUUGACGGUACCAGCAGAAUAAGCACAGGCAAACUCUGUGCCAGCAGGCGCCGUAAUAACGAGGGUGCGAGCGGUAAUCGGAUUUAAUGGGCGUAAAGAGUUGCGUAGGUGGACACGUAAGGGAAUAGG